Non-coding RNA from Doryrhamphus excisus (bluestripe pipefish), 777 nucleotides. Lineage: Eukaryota; Metazoa; Chordata; Actinopteri; Syngnathiformes; Syngnathidae. The record is from RefSeq and is a predicted model, not a curated record.
CAUGCUAGGUUAAUUGGCCACUCCAAAUUGUCCAUAGGUAUGAAUGUGAGUGUGACUGCUGUUACCAAGGCGCAGUGAAUGCACCAUCAUUAUUUGGUGUUUUGUAUUGAAUUCAGACGGAAGUCGUGAGGCACAUACAACUACUCGUAAAACAUCAUGGACGUUCGCACGCAAGAAGCAGCGAAGAAGUUUCUAUAUUUAAACCCCCCGCAACGUUUAAAUGGUAUGUUUGGAAACAAUACGGAUUCUCAAACAACGGCGAAAAACUCGACAAAACGUCCGCCAUUUGCAAAGAAUGCCGCGUUAAGAAGCCGUACAACGGCAGAACUACAAACAUGGAGACACCCUUAAAAAGGGGACACCGGGGGAAAAAAACAAACAAAACAGAUCCAGGAUGCUGACCGGGGUCAUCUCCACACCAUGACAGGACAGAGAGCAAUGAAACACCUCUAGUUGGAGUACUACAUGUAUGAGAAACAGAGCUGCUCAUGACCUUGACCUGAAAGGCCUACACCAUGGAUACCAGUAAUAAUGAGCCGGAUGACAUCACAUAUCGAAAUUCUGGUGUGGAGGCGGCAAUUGAGAACGGAUCGGACAAGUGAUGACCGUCUGCAAGGAAUGAUGCCGGACUCCACACUGUUCUGUUUAUUUAAGACUAUUUUAAUGGACCUUUGUCUGUCUGGAUGUAUUUAUUUUAUUAGUCGUGUUGGAAUUAUUUUCAAUUCAAAAUAUUCAUUUUGAUCAUUUGAAAAUAAUUUUUCCACCGCUAAUAAUCUU